UUAUGUUUCUUAAUUUUAUAUAAAAUUGAUAGUGGUGAUAUUUGAUAAAUAACUAGAUUGAAAUGUUUGAUUUUGGCUUAGAUUCUUAUGUUAUAUUUGAAAUUGUAUGAAAAUUUAGGUAUGAAAAGAAAAUUUAAUUAUAUAUUAAUUUUACUGGUGUUAAUUAGAAACAACGAUGAAAAGUUUAAUCUCAGCAUAAAAUAUUACGCCAAUGUACAAAAGUGUGACGUAGUAGAUAUAAUAAAUCUGAUGAAUAUUUGUGCCAGCAUUCGCGGUUAUACUUUGAGGUUGAAUAAGAAUUUUAGGUGAUAGUUGAAUGUAUUAAUUUUAAAAUAUUAUAGAUAAUAGCAAGUGAAAUUGAUUAUUAAUAUUUAUAUUUGUGGAUAAAUUAAAUUUGAAGCUAAAAAGGUUUAAUAAAAAACUAGGAUUAGAUACCCUAUUAUUGAAAAGUGAAUAUAAAAUGCUUAAUUAGUUAUAGAUAAAUACUUAAAAUUUAAAAAAUUUGGCGGUAAUUUAAUCUUUUCAGAGGAACCUGUUUUUUAAUCGAUAAACCACGAAAAAUCUUACUUACUUUUGUUAUAAUAUCGGUUUGUAUACCAUCAUUAGCAAAUAAUUUUAAGAGAAUAAAUUAUUUAGGAUAAUAAAUUAUAAAAAUUAGAUCAUGGUGCAGCUUAUAAGUAAGGUAAAAUGGGUUACAAUAAAUCGUUUUAUUACGAAUUUAAUAAAAUAAAGUUAUUAUAAAGGAGGAUUUGAUUGUAUUGUGAGUUUAAUAAGCUUUUAAGAUAUAAGCUCUAAAUUAUGUACAUAUCGCCCGUCGCUUUCGUCUGUAAACGAAAUAAGUCGUAACAUAGUAGAUGUACUGGAAAGUGUAUCUAGAA
RNAcentral lists this non-coding RNA (878 nucleotides) under Euplax sp. Lineage: Eukaryota; Metazoa; Arthropoda; Malacostraca; Decapoda; Macrophthalmidae. The record is from RNAcentral.